Molecule: ribosomal RNA, 429 nt
Filed under: Bacillota bacterium
Lineage: Bacteria; Bacillati; Bacillota
Description: Firmicutes bacterium partial 16S ribosomal RNA
Rfam family: Bacterial small subunit ribosomal RNA
Source: RNAcentral
UAGGGAAUCUUCCACAAUGGACGCAAGUCUGAUGGAGCAACGCCGCGUGAGUGAAGAAGGUUUUCGGAUCGUAAAGCUCUGUUGUUGGGGAAGAAGGAUAGAGGCAGUAACUGGUCUUUAUUUGACGGUAAUCAACCAGAAAGUCACGGCUAACUACGUGCCAGCAGCCGCGGUAAUACGUAGGUGGCAAGCGUUGUCCGGAUUUAUUGGGCGUAAAGCGAGCGCAGGCGGAAUGAUAAGUCUGAUGUGAAAGCCCACGGCUCAACCGUGGAACUGCAUCGGAAACUGUCAUUCUUGAGUGCAGAAGAGGAGAGUGGAAUUCCAUGUGUAGCGGUGGAAUGCGUAGAUAUAUGGAAGAACACCAGUGGCGAAGGCGGCUCUCUGGUCUGCAACUGACGCUGAGGCUCGAAAGCAUGGGUAGCGAACAGG